GAUGAACGCUAGCGGCAGGCUUAAUACAUGCAAGUCGAGGGGCAGCAGGGUGUAGCAAUACAUGGGCGGCGACCGGCAAACGGGUGCGGAACACGUACAGAACCUUCCUUUAAGCGGGGCAUAGCCCGGGGAAACCCGGAUUAAUACCCCAUAGUAAAUUGGAGAGGCAUCUCUUUGAUUUUAAAGAUUUAUCACUUAAA
This 200-nucleotide ribosomal RNA is filed under the name uncultured bacterium. RNAcentral's name for it is "partial 16S ribosomal RNA". It matches the Rfam family "Bacterial small subunit ribosomal RNA", at positions 28 to 223 of the family's 1533-position model. The record is from RNAcentral.